RNAcentral lists this ribosomal RNA (792 nucleotides) under Eleutherodactylus fowleri. RNAcentral's name for it is "partial 16S ribosomal RNA". It matches the Rfam family "Bacterial large subunit ribosomal RNA", at positions 1509 to 2528 of the family's 2925-position model. Lineage: Eukaryota; Metazoa; Chordata; Amphibia; Anura; Eleutherodactylidae. The record is from RNAcentral.
CGUCAAAGCUUAAUCUUAUCCUUCAACAAUUUCACAAUCUCCUCAAAACCCCUUAAUAGUACUGAACGAUUUCAUACCUUUAUGAAACCCUCUAUGUUAAAACUAGUAACAAGAAUAAACCUUCUCUUUUAUACAAAUUUAGAUCAGAACAGAAAAUCUACUGAUUCAUAACAACCCUAAGUCUAAGCAGUAAAUUAUCAAGAAAAUUCCGCUAAAACAAUUGUUAACCUCACACAAGAGUAUAUAAAGAAAGAUUAAAAGAAAAAGAAGGAACUCGGCAAACCCUAAUUCCGCCUGUUUACCAAAAACAUCGCCUCCUGCUAACCUAUAGGAGGUCCAGCCUGCCCAGUGACCUAGUUUAACGGCCGCGGUAUCCUGACCGUGCGAAGGUAGCGUAAUCACCUGUUUUUUAAUUAAAGACCUGUAUGAAAGGCAUCACGAGAAUUAAACUGUCUCCCCUUUCCAAUCAGUGAAACUAAUCUCCCCGUGAAAAAGCGGGGAUAUUUACACAAGACGAGAAGACCCUAUGGAGCUUAAGACAAAGUAACAUCCUGCACAUCUUUUUUACACCUAUUUCUGCCAGCAUUUAUUUACAAGUCUUUGGUUGGGGCAACCGCGGAGCACAAAAUAACCUCCAAGCCGAAUGGAACCUUCCUAAACAAAAAGCCACAACUUUACGUAUCAAUAAAUUGACAUAUGACCCAAAUUUUUGAUUAUCGAACCAAGUUACCCUAGGGAUAACAGCGCUAUCCACUUCAAGAGUCCAUAUCGACAAGUGGGCUUACGACCUCG